Lates calcarifer (barramundi perch) is the source of this 393-nucleotide long non-coding RNA. RefSeq lists it as uncharacterized. The record is from RefSeq and is a predicted model, not a curated record. Lineage: Eukaryota; Metazoa; Chordata; Actinopteri; Centropomidae. The transcript has 3 exons.
UAUCCAGUGCUGAUGUUCCUCAAAGGGAGAGAGAAAAGAAGGGGAGAUGGCCUUUCCACCGCAGCCCUCAGGCCUGCAGCACGCUGGUGUUGCCUCCAAAGGUCUCUGCAGCUCGGAGCACCACACUGGACAUGGCUGUCAAAAAAAUGAGUCUACUAAAUGCGCCAGCAAGACUACAGCCGGCUAGCACUGGAGAGCAGCAUGCCACUGGGGUCUGCAGCGCUGAGCAGGGUCUUAUGAGUCAUAGUAGUGGUUUAUGGUAUUUUAAAUAACGUUGUUUGUAGACUGGACCCCUACAGUUAACCCCAGUUAUCAAGGAGCUAAACCCAUGUCGGAGGCAGCGACGAGAAGAGAAGGUGAAGUCCAGAGACAUCGUUCAAUCAGUGAACGAUU